Molecule: unclassified non-coding RNA, 148 nt
Filed under: soil metagenome
Description: partial internal transcribed spacer 1
Source: RNAcentral
CCGAGUUUACAACUCCCAAACCCCUAUGAACAUACCUAUACGUUGCCUCGGCGGAUCAGCCCGCGCCCCGUAAAAAGGGACGGCCCGCCCGAGGACCCCUAAACUCUGUUUUUAGUGGAACUUCUGAGUAAAACAAACAAAUAAAUCA